UUGAUGGUAUUGUUGAUGAAUAUGUGAAUGUAUCUUCCUCACAAUUGGAAAACUCGAUUUGAGUUCUAAUCGUCUAAGUAGAUCAUUUCCAGAGUACUUCUUUGAAUUUCCAAAGCUGAGUAAGUUAUUACUUUCUUCCAACUCCUUAGGUGGAAAGAUACUACCAUCUCUGUUUUCACUUCCAUCUUUGAAGUGGUUAGAUCUUUCCAACAAUUCAUUUGAUGGUAUGGUUGAUGAAUAUGUGAAUGUAUCUGCCUUACAAUUGGAAACACUUGAUUUGAGUUCUAAUUGUUUAAAUAACCCAUUUCCAGAGUAUUUCAUUGAAUUUCCAAAGCUGAGUGACUUGGUACUUUAUUCCAACUCCUUUUGUAGAAAGAUACAAUCAUCUUUGUUUUUACUUCCAUCAUUGCAGUCACUAGAUCUUUCCAACAAUUCAAUUGAUGGUCUUGUUGAUAAAUAUGUGAAUUUAUCUUCCUCACAAUUGUAUAGGCUUGACUUGAGUUCUAACUCUCU
Molecule: long non-coding RNA, 513 nt
Organism: Ipomoea nil (Japanese morning glory)
Lineage: Eukaryota; Viridiplantae; Streptophyta; Magnoliopsida; Solanales; Convolvulaceae
Exons: 2
Source: RefSeq, a predicted model, not a curated record